Molecule: ribosomal RNA, 301 nt
Filed under: uncultured bacterium
Lineage: Bacteria
Description: partial 16S ribosomal RNA
Rfam family: Bacterial small subunit ribosomal RNA
Source: RNAcentral
CAGUACGCGGGAAUACGAAGGGUGCAAGCGUUACUCGGAAUUACUGGGCGUAAAGCGUGCGUAGGUGGUGGUUUAAGUCCGUUGUGAAAGCCCUGGGCUCAACCUGGGAAUUGCAGUGGAUACUGGGUCACUAGAGUGUGGUAGAGGAUAGUGGAAUUUCCGGUGUAGCAGUGAAAUGCGUAGAGAUCGGAAGGAACAUCUGUGGCGAAGGCGACUAUCUGGGCCAACACUGACACUGAGGCACGAAAGCGUGGGGAGCAAACAGGAUUAGAUACCCCGGUAGUCCCUGUCUCUUAUACAC